Molecule: ribosomal RNA, 308 nt
Filed under: uncultured eukaryote
Lineage: Eukaryota
Description: partial 18S ribosomal RNA
Rfam family: Eukaryotic small subunit ribosomal RNA
Source: RNAcentral
CCCCUAGACGUUCUGGGCCGCACGCGCGCUACACUGACGAAGGCAACGAGCUUUCCUUUACCGAAAGGUACGGGUAAUCUUUUGAAACUUCGUCGUGCUGGGGAUAGAUCCUUGCAAUUAUUGAUCUUAAACGAGGAAUUCCUAGUAAGCGCAAGUCAUCAACUUGCGUUGAUUACGUCCCUGCCCUUUGUACACACCGCCCGUCGCUACUACCGAUUGAAUGGUUUAGUGAGGCCUUCGGAUCCGCGACUCGUUUUGUGGAGAAGUUGGACAAACUCAGUCAUUUAGAGGAAGUAAAAGUCGUAACA